AACACAUAGAGACACAGCAUCAUGAAGGCAGAGGCUGCCUCGGGACGGCUCUGCCCCAGGGAGCGUGGGGCCAUCUGAGCCAAACAGAAUAGAGGGCUUGGACACAGCCCCGGAUGUGAGUUGAGCUCUGAAUGUCAAGACCAGUCCUGGUUCUAGAACUGCUACAAAGGAGCAGCCACGAGUGUCCCCCGCUCCCAGACCACUCCAAGCUGCUUCUAGAGGGACUGGACAUCCUGGAGCAGAAACAGG
Molecule: long non-coding RNA, 249 nt
Filed under: Homo sapiens (human)
Lineage: Eukaryota; Metazoa; Chordata; Mammalia; Primates; Hominidae
Description: non-protein coding LINC00606:8
Source: RNAcentral